AGAACGAACGCUGGCGGCAUGCCUAAUACAUGCAAGUCGAACGAACACUUCGGUGUUAGUGGCGCACGGGUGCGUAACGCGUGGGAAUCUGCCCUUGGGUUCGGAAUAACAGUUGGAAACGACUGCUAAUACCGGAUGAUAUCGAAAGAUCAAAGAUUUAUCGCCCAGGGAUGAGCCCGCGUAGGAUUAGCUAGUUGGUGAGGUAAAGGCUCACCAAGGCGACGAUCCUUAGCUGGUCUGAGAGGAUGAUCAGCCACACUGGGACUGAGACGACCGGCCAGACCUCCGUACGGGAGCAGCGAGGUAGGGUAAUAGUAGGACGAAGUGGGACGACAAGGCCUAGACUCCAAGCAAGUCGCCGCGUGAAGUGAUGGAAGUCCGUUAGGGUAUAAGCGUUACGUUUAACCCGGAGUA
Molecule: ribosomal RNA, 414 nt
Filed under: uncultured soil bacterium
Lineage: Bacteria
Description: bacterial SSU rRNA
Rfam family: Bacterial small subunit ribosomal RNA
Source: RNAcentral